Molecule: ribosomal RNA, 438 nt
Filed under: uncultured bacterium
Lineage: Bacteria
Description: partial 16S ribosomal RNA
Rfam family: Bacterial small subunit ribosomal RNA
Source: RNAcentral
UAGGGAAUCUUCGGCAAUGGACGAAAGUCUGACCGAGCAACGCCGCGUGAGUGAAGAAGGUUUUCGGAUCGUAAAACUCUGUUGGUAGAGAAGAACGUUGGUGAGAGUGGAAAGCUCAUCAAGUGACGGUAACUACCCAGAAAGGGACGGCUAACUACGUGCCAGCAGCCGCGGUAAUACGUAGGUCCCGAGCGUUGUCCGGAUUUAUUGGGCGUAAAGCGAGCGCAGGUGGUUUAUUAAGUCUGGUGUAAAAGGCAGUGGCUCAACCAUUGUAUGCAUUGGAAACUGGUAGACUUGAGUGCAGGAGAGGAGAGUGGAAUUCCAUGUGUAGCGGUGAAAUGCGUAGAUAUAUGGAGGAACACCGGUGGCGAAAGCGGCUCUCUGGCCUGUAACUGACACUGAGGCUCGAAAGCGUGGGGAGCAAACAGGAUUAGAUAC